UCACGAUUUAUUUCUUCUUACUUUCGAUGAAAACAAAGUAUUUUCUUAACUUUUCUUUUUACAAAUGAAUCAUUUCAGAAAUAUAAAAUAUUAACAACAUAUUUAACCCAGCACAUACUUUAUGUGUAGGUCCGAAUUAUCGAUGCCAUGGUUCGGUGGUUGUCGUUGGUUCAUCUCUAUCAUAUUUGUUGUUUUUCAUAAAUUGUUUUGUUAUGAGUUAGACCGUUAGUUUUCUUUUUGAAUCCUUCCACAUUUUUCAUGUCGGUGCUUUUUAUAGCCGACUAUAAGAUAUGAGUUUUCGUUGUUGAAGGCCGUACGAUAGCAUAUAAUUGCUUACAUAUAUUGUUGAAGACCGUACGGUUACAUA
Molecule: long non-coding RNA, 367 nt
Filed under: Mytilus galloprovincialis (Mediterranean mussel)
Lineage: Eukaryota; Metazoa; Mollusca; Bivalvia; Mytilida; Mytilidae
Source: RNAcentral